GAGUAGGGCGGGACACGUGGUAUCCUGUCUGAAUAUGGGGGGACCAUCCUCCAAGGCUAAAUACUCCUGACUGACCGAUAGUGAACCAGUACCGUGAGGGAAAGGCGAAAAGAACCCCGGCGAGGGGAGUGAAAAAGAACCUGAAACCGUGUACGUACAAGCAGUGGGAGCACCUUCGGGUGUGACUGCGUACCUUUUGUAUAAUGGGUCAGCGACUUAUAUUCUGUAGCAAGGUUAACCGUAUAGGGGAGCCGCAGGGAAACCGAGUCUUAACUGGGCGUUAAGUUGCAGGGUAUAGACCCGAAACCCGGUGAUCUAGCCAUGGGCAGGUUGAAGGUUGGGUAACACUAACUGGAGGACCGAACCGACUAAUGUUGAAAAAUUAGCGGAUGACUUGUGGCUGGGGGUGAAAGGCCAAUCAAACCGGGAGAUAGCUGGUUCUCCCCGAAAGCUAUUUAGGUAGCGCCUCGUGAACUCAUCUUCGGGGGUAGAGCACUGUUUCGGCUAGGGGGUCAUCCCGACUUACCAACCCGAUGCAAACUACGAAUACCGAAGAAUGUUAUCACGGGAGACACACGGCGGGUGCUAACGUCCGUCGUGAAGAGGGAAACAACCCAGACCGCCAGCUAAGGUCCCAAAGUCAUGGUUAAGUGGGAAACGAUGUGGGAAGGCACAGACAGCCAGGAUGUUGGCUUAGAAGCAGCCAUCAUUUAAAGAAAGCGUAAUAGCUCACUGGUCGAGUCGGCCUGCGCGGAAGAUGUAACGGGGCUAAACCAUGCACCGAAGCUGCGGCAGCGACACUAUGUGUUGUUGGGUAGGGGAGCGUUCUGUAAGCCUGCGAAGGUGWSCUGUGAGGSWUGCUGGAGGUAUCAGAAGUGCGAAUGCUGACAUAAGUAACGAUAAAGCGGGUGAAAAGCCCGCUCGCCGGAAGACCAAGGGUUCCUGUCCAACGUUAAUCGGGGCAGGGUGAGUCGACCCCUAAGGCGAGGCCGAAAGGCGUAGUCGAUGGGAAACAGGUUAAUAUUCCUGUACUUGGUGUUACUGCGAAGGGGGGACGGAGAAGGCUAUGUUAGCCGGGCGACGGUUGUCCCGGUUUAAGCAUGUAGGCUGRUUGUCCAGGCAAAUCCGGAUAAUCAAGGCUGAGGUGUGAUGACGAGGCACUACGGUGCUGAAGUAACAAAUGCCCUGCUUCCAGGAAAAGCCUCUAAGCAUCAGGUAACAUYAAAUCGUACCCCAAACCGACACAGGUGGUCAGGUAGAGAAUACCAAGGCGCUUGAGAGAACUCGGGUGAAGGAACUAGGCAAAAUGGUGCCGUAACUUCGGGAGAAGGCACGCUGGUGUGUAGGUGAAGUCCCUGCGGAUGGAGCUGAGACCAGUCGAAGAUACCAGCUGGCUGCAACUGUUUAUUAAAAACACAGCACUGUGCAAACACGAAAGUGGACGUAUACGGUGUGACGCCUGCCCGGUGCCGGAAGGUUAAUUGAUGGGGUUAUCCGUAAGGAGAAGCUCUUGAUCGAAGCCCCGGUAAACGGCGGCCGUAACUAUAACGGUCCUAAGGUAGCGAAAUUCCUUGUCGGGUAAGUUCCGACCUGCACGAAUGGCGUAAUGAUGGCCAGGCUGUCUCCACCCGAGACUCAGUGAAAUUGAACUCGCUGUGAAGAUGCAGUGUACCCGCGGCAAGACGGAAAGACCCCGUGAACCUUUACUAUAGCUUGACACUGAACAUUGAGCCUUGAUGUGUAGGAUAGGUGGGAGGCUUUGAAGCGUGGACGCCAGUCUGCGUGGAGCCAACCUUGAAAUACCACCCUUUAAUGUUUGAUGUUCUAACGUUGGCCCCUGACCGGGGUUGCGGACAGUGUCUGGUGGGUAGUUUGACUGGGGCGGUCUCCUCCCAAAGCGUAACGGAGGAGCACGAAGGUUAGCUAAUCCUGGUCGGACAUCAGGAGGUUAGUGCAAUGGCAUAAGCUAGCUUGACUGCGAGCGUGACGGCGCGAGCAGGUGCGAAAGCAGGUCAUAGUGAUCCGGUGGUUCUGAAUGGAAGGGCCAUCGCUCAACGGAUAAAAGGUACUCCGGGGAUAACAGGCUGAUACCGCCCAAGAGUUCAUAUCGACGGCGGUGUUUGGCACCUCGAUGUCGGCUCAUCACAUCCUGGGGCUGAAGUAGGUCCCAAGGGUAUGGCUGUUCGCCAUUUAAAGUGGUACGCGAGCUGGGUUUAGAACGUCGUGAGACAGUUCGGUCCCUAUCUGCCGUGGGCGCUGGAGAAUUGAGGGGGGCUGCUCCUAGUACGAGAGGACCGGAGUGGACGCAUCACUGGUGUUCGGGUUGUCAUGCCAAUGGCACUGCCCGGUAGCUAAAUGCGGAAGAGAUAAGUGCUGAAAGCAUCUAAGCACGAAACUUGCCCCGAGAUGAGUUCUCCCUGAGACUUUAAGUCUCCUGAAGGAACGUUGAAGACGACGACGUUGAUAGGCCGGGUGUGUAAGCGCAGCGAUGCGUUGAGCUAACCGGUACUAAUGAACCGUGAGGCUUAACCU
This 2532-nucleotide ribosomal RNA is filed under the name Klebsiella pneumoniae. RNAcentral's name for it is "partial 23S ribosomal RNA". Lineage: Bacteria; Pseudomonadati; Pseudomonadota; Gammaproteobacteria; Enterobacterales; Enterobacteriaceae. The record is from RNAcentral.